AGCUAUAGGCUUAACCUCAGAAGGCCUGUGGGGGCCUCACUACAACUGCCUGACCAGGUCUUUUGGAGGCCAUGCCUAGACCUGCGUGGCCAGCCCUGAUGCCGCAGGCACUGCCUACUGUGUGGUGACUGCAUUCUCUGUUGGCUACAGACAGGCCUGACUCAACAAGCACCUCACCGUGUCCUCUGGGGACCAUGGCCAUAACCAGGCCAGCCAGGGAUCCCUGUCACUUGGAGGGUCCAUUGAGGUUUAGAAUUCUAGGGGUUGCCAGUAAUUUCUUUCAGCCCAGGAAGCCAUCCUUCCACAGUUGCCCAGCCUCUACUGAUACUGUGAAGUCAGCAGUGUCACUCACUCCUGUGAAGGUAAAGGCGUUGUCCCUUCACUUGCCGGAUUGCAGCGGCUGUCCAGACAGUGCUGAAGUAGUGAGCAACAGUGGAUGAGCAACGGCCGGCCCGGCUCGUGAAGAACCCCACCAGGCAGGCACGCAUCGCUUCAGACACGGAACGGGCAACGGCCAAGAGGAGGAAGAGUUCGCGGUUAGCAGUGCAGAUGGUCUCCCACCUCAAGGACAUUCACAGGGCCGAGGCCCCCGUUUGAGGGUGAAGUGGUAGCAGCUGCUUGCGGGGAGGCAGGCACUCAUCCUGCUGGUCUGUGAGCUCACGCAGCUCUCUACAGAACACAUCACCUGCACUGUGCAGACGAGCGGCUGGAGGACGUGUGACGUUGCCACCUUUUAGGUAAAGCCCUAACCUGGAAGCCGUGCAAGGCCUACCUGCCCAUCAGUGAGAGCACAAACAGGUUCUGGUGGAUCUGAAAAGGACACCGGUACUGAUGGCAGCAAAAGCAGAGGCCGCCCGGGAACUUCCUGCAGGUGCUUGGUAAGGAUGGGUCUGGGUGCCUGCCCCUCACUGCGGGGAGGCUUGAGGCCCAGGACAUGUCCACAACAGUACGACUGCUGAUGUGGCAAAGCCUGAAGCUGCCAGGGCUGAGGAAAGCGGGUGCCUACACUGCCUCCAGACUGGAUGGGCCUCAAGCUGAGAAACCACAAGGCAACAGCCAGCCCAGGCCGACCUGGAGUUGUUUGGAGCAGCAAACAACGUUUAACUUCUUUUGUAAAGGCUACUACUUCAAGGAAGCGAGUCAGGAAAAGCUGACUACUGGGUAAGUUUGGUUUCCAUUGAAUAGGACAUCACCCAACAAGCUCAGACAUCCUGGUUUGGUUUGCAGCCAAGGCACACUCUUUGCAUUUAUCACUUUUCAUGCUUCAUAAUGCCAAAAUUGGCAAAAUCCCCCUUCCUCCCUGCUAUAUGCUCUGCCAACCAACCAACCUCCCUUUCUCAGAGGCCUCAUGGAGUUAGGCUGGGACUUCUGUCCCCUUAACUUGGACCUGGCAAGUUGGCAGCACCCUGCCCUGCUUGAUGAUCUCCACUAACUCUCCCCCAAACUUGAAGCCUUUACAUCACAUCUUCUGGCCGGUCCCAGGGUCUGGGGCCCCAGAACCUUCACAGGAACACUCAGGGCCUCAUGGGGAGGGAGCUACUGCCUACACUUCCUUCGCUCUGGUGAAGAGAGAGAGAGAGAGAGAGAGAAGACAAGUCCCAGCUGCGCAGGAUAGGACCCGGAAGGUAAAAAGAGGUGGCCUACUUGAGACCCACCUAUGAACUGACUAAUUGGUUCAAUUAUUUGCUUUCACUAGAUUUUUGCUUUCUAAUGAAGGAUGAAUCCUUGCAGCCGGUAAAAACCAAAGAAUCACACACGUUUUUGAGAAUCCUCAUCUAGGCAUUAGCAAAGGCAGCAUUCCCUCAGCCUGUAGUUUGGACCAAAGCAAAAUGAGCUUUUCUCCUCCCAGGCCCUCCCUGGUAAUCCGGCUGUGCCACCGUCCAAGGCAGCACAUGGGGCCUACGGAUGCCACCCCUCACACCAGCUACCUCAGCCCCUGUGUGCACAGGUACCACACGUCGUGCACUUGCUGCUCUCAGAGACUGUCACAGAGCACAGCAGUGCAGGACACAAGGGGCUUUUUCGUUUGUGUCACACCGCUAGCUCACUCGGUGGCAGUCACCUUUAGGUUAAAGCAUCUGGAUUCCAGGGAAUACUCACGUUAGUUGAUGGAUGUUGGAAGGCAUUGGAGGAAAACACCAUAGUUAGGACAGUUAAUGGCUUACACGCUGUUGGGAAGACUGAUCUUGAACAUGCGCAAACAUUUAUAGUAACAUGGUGUUGGUUAGUGCCACAUUCAAAUAAAAAUAGUUCUAUACAAUA
Molecule: long non-coding RNA, 2262 nt
Organism: Suricata suricatta (meerkat)
Lineage: Eukaryota; Metazoa; Chordata; Mammalia; Carnivora; Herpestidae
Exons: 5
Source: RefSeq, a predicted model, not a curated record